AGACCCGAAACCCGGUGAUCUAGCCAUGGGCAGGUUGAAGGUUGGGUAACACUAACUGGAGGACCGAACCGACUAAUGUUGAAAAAUUAGCGGAUGACCUGUGGCUGGGGGUGAAAGGCCAAUCAAACCGGGAGAUAGCUGGUUCUCCCCGAAAGCUAUUUAGGUAGCGCCUCGUGAAUUCAUCUCCGGGGGUAGAGCACUGUUUCGGCUAGGGGGCCAUCCCGGCUUACCAACCCGAUGCAAACUGCGAAUACCGGAGAAUGUUAUCACGGGAGACACACGGCGGGUGCUAACGUCCGUCGUGAAGAGGGAAACAACCCAGACCGCCAGCUAAGGUCCCAAAGUCAUGGUUAAGUGGGAAACGAUGUGGGAAGGCCCAGACAGCCAGGAUGUUGGCUUAGAAGCAGCCAUCAUUUAAAGAAAGCGUAAUAGCUCACUGGUCGAGUCGGCCUGCGCGGAAGAUGUAACGGGGCUAAACCAUGCACCGAAGCUGCGGCAGCGAACGUAUCACCCAAGACAACUUUACGGAGUUGACGAUUGACGGAGCGAAGCGACGUCAAAGCGUUCAUUAAAGUCGAGUUGGCUUAGGGAUACGUUCGUUGGGUAGGGGAGCGUUCUGUAAGCCUGUGAAGGUGUGUCGUGAGGCAUGCUGGAGGUAUCAGAAGUGCGAAUGCUGACAUAAGUAACGAUAAAGCGGGUGAAAAGCCCGCUCGCCGGAAGACCAAGGGUUCCUGUCCAACGUUAAUCGGGGCAGGGUGAGUCGACCCCUAAGGCGAGGCCGAAAGGCGUAGUCGAUGGGAAACGGGUUAAUAUUCCCGUACUUGGUGUUACUGCGAAGGGGGGACGGAGAAGGCUAUGUUGGCCGGGCGACGGUUGUCCCGGUUUAAGCGUGUAGGUGUGUGUUCUAGGUAAAUCCGGUUCACUUUAACACUGAGGCGUGACGACGAGGCACUACGGUGCUGAAGCAACAAAUGCCCUGCUUCCAGGAAAAGCCUCUAAGCAUCAGGUAACACGAAAUCGUACCCCAAACCGACACAGGUGGUCAGGUAGAGAAUACCAAGGCGCUUGAGAGAACUCGGGUGAAGGAACUAGGCAAAAUGGUGCCGUAACUUCGGGAGAAGGCACGCUGACACGUAGGUGAAGUGAUUUACUCAUGGAGCUGAAGUCAGUCGAAGAUACCAGCUGGCUGCAACUGUUUAUUAAAAACACAGCACUGUGCAAACACGAAAGUGGACGUAUACGGUGUGACGCCUGCCCGGUGCCGGAAGGUUAAUUGAUGGGGUCAGCGUAAGCGAAGCUCCUGAUCGAAGCCCCGGUAAACGGCGGCCGUAACUAUAACGGUCCUAAGGUAGCGAAAUUCCUUGUCGGGUAAGUUCCGACCUGCACGAAUGGCGUAAUGAUGGCCAGGCUGUCUCCACCCGAGACUCAGUGAAAUUGAACUCGCUGUGAAGAUGCAGUGUACCCGCGGCAAGACGGAAAGACCCCGUGAACCUUUACUAUAGCUUGACACUGAACAUUGAGCCUUGAUGUGUAGGAUAGGUGGGAGGCUUUGAAGUGUGGACGCCAGUCUGCAUGGAGCCGACCUUGAAAUACCACCCUUUAAUGUUUGAUGUUCUAACGUGGACCCGUAAUCCGGGUUGCGGACAGUGUCUGGUGGGUAGUUUGACUGGGGCGGUCUCCUCCUAAAGAGUAACGGAGGAGCACGAAGGUUGGCUAAUCCUGGUCGGACAUCAGGAGGUUAGUGCAAUGGCAUAAGCCAGCUUGACUGCGAGCGUGACGGCGCGAGCAGGUGCGAAAGCAGGUCAUAGUGAUCCGGUGGUUCUGAAUGGAAGGGCCAUCGCUCAACGGAUAAAAGGUACUCCGGGGAUAACAGGCUGAUACCGCCCAAGAGUUCAUAUCGACGGCGGUGUUUGGCACCUCGAUGUCGGCUCAUCACAUCCUGGGGCUGAAGUAGGUCCCAAGGGUAUGGCUGUUCGCCAUUUAAAGUGGUACGCGAGCUGGGUUUAGAACGUCGUGAGACAGUUCGGUCCCUAUCUGCCGUGGGCGCUGGAGAACUGAGGGGGGCUGCUCCUAGUACGAGAGGACCGGAGUGGACGCAUCACUGGUGUUCGGGUUGUCAUGCCAAUGGCACUGCCCGGUAGCUAAAUGCGGAAGAGAUAAGUGCUGAAAGCAUCUAAGCACGAAACUUGCCCCGA
RNAcentral lists this ribosomal RNA (2195 nucleotides) under Salmonella enterica. RNAcentral's name for it is "partial 23S ribosomal RNA". It matches the Rfam family "Bacterial large subunit ribosomal RNA", at positions 711 to 2802 of the family's 2925-position model. The record is from RNAcentral. Lineage: Bacteria; Pseudomonadati; Pseudomonadota; Gammaproteobacteria; Enterobacterales; Enterobacteriaceae.